GGGCAUGGUCCUAGGGCUUAGGUCCUCCGAGAGAGAGAAAGAGAGAAUUAGAGAACGCACACUUAGAUUCACACAGGACACCGAAUAGGACAGGAGAGGUACUCUAUUUUGAGCAUUAUCUACAACCUGUGUUAAGGUGUCCUCUUUAGCCUUGUCUACAGCCUGUGUUAAGGUGUCCUCUUUAGCCUUGUCUACAACCUGUGUUAAGGUGUCCUCUAUAGCCUUGUCUACAACCUGUGUUAAGGUGUCCUCUUCAGCCUGUGUUAAGGUGUCCUCUUCAGCCUGUGUUAAGGUGUCCUCUACAACCUGUGUUAAG
This is a long non-coding RNA of Oncorhynchus tshawytscha (Chinook salmon), 316 nucleotides long. NCBI's taxonomy places the organism in Eukaryota, Metazoa, Chordata, Actinopteri, Salmoniformes, Salmonidae. The record is from Ensembl.